RNAcentral lists this ribosomal RNA (657 nucleotides) under archaeon enrichment culture clone A21H89. RNAcentral's name for it is "bacterial SSU rRNA". It matches the Rfam family "Archaeal small subunit ribosomal RNA", at positions 21 to 684 of the family's 1478-position model. The record is from RNAcentral.
GGUUACUGCUAUCGAGGUUCGACUAAGCCAUGCGAGUCGAAUGUAGCAAUACAUGGCGAACUGCUCAGUAACACGUGGACAACCUGCCCUUAGGACGGGGAUAAACCCGGGAAACUGGGUAUAAUACCCGAUAGGUCUCGAUUGCUGGAAUGCAUCGAGAUUUAAAGCUCCGGCGCCUAAGGAUGGGUCUGCGGCCUAUCAGGUAGUAGUGGGUGUAGCGUACCUACUAGCCUACGACGGGUACGGGUUGUGAGAGCAAGAGCCCGGAGAUGGAUUCUGAGACACGAAUCCAGGCCCUACGGGGUGCAGCAGGCGCGAAAACUUUACAAUGCUGGCAACAGCGAUAAGGGAACCUCGAGUGCCAGGUUACAAAUCUGGCUGUCGAGAUGCCUAAAAAGCAUUUCAUAGCAAGGGCCGGGCAAGACCGGUGCCAGCCGCCGCGGUAACACCGGCGGCUCGAGUGGUAACCGUUAUUAUUGGGUCUAAAGGGUCUGUAGCCGGCCGGAUAAGUCUCUUGAGAAAUCUGGCAGCUUAACUGUCAGGCUUUCAGGAGAUACUGUCUGGCUCGAGGCCGGGAGAGGUGAGAGGUACUUCAGGGGUAGGGGUGAAAUCUUGUAAUCCUUGAAGGACCACCAGUGGCGAAAGCGUCUCACCAGA